ACAGACACAAACACACACACAGUCAGACACAUACACAGACACAAACACAGUCAGACACAAACACACACACAGUCAGACACACACACAGUCAGACACACACACAAACACAUACACACACAGUCAGACACAUACACAAACACAGUCAGACACAAACACACACACACUCACAAACACAGUCAGACACAAACACACACAUACACAGUCAGAGACACACACACACACAGUCAGAGACACACACACUCACAAACACAGUCAGACACAAACACAGUCAGACACAAACACAAACACACACAGUCACAAACACACACAGUCAGACACAUACACAAACACAGUCAGACACAAACACACACACACACACUCAGACACAUACACAAACACAAACACAGUCAGACACAAACACACACACACUCAGACACAAACACAGUCAGACACAAACACACACACACUCACAAACACACACACACUCACAAACACA
Molecule: non-coding RNA, 475 nt
Organism: Pelobates cultripes (western spadefoot toad)
Lineage: Eukaryota; Metazoa; Chordata; Amphibia; Anura; Pelobatidae
Source: the annotation of a GenBank genome assembly